This is a non-coding RNA of Danio rerio (zebrafish), 72 nucleotides long. Lineage: Eukaryota; Metazoa; Chordata; Actinopteri; Cypriniformes; Danionidae. The record is from Rfam.
GCCGUGAUCGUAAAGUGGUUAAUACUCUGCGUCGUGGUUGCAGCAACCCCGGUUCGAAUCCGCGUCACGGCA